AUUCUUCUUUUAGGGGUGAUUCCAUGAUCAUGAAGGUGGUUUCCCCAGGGUGAGGCUUAUCUACUGCACUCCAGAUGGGCUGAUCCUUGUGAUUUUCCCAAAUGCAGGAGACUUGACUGCAUAAUUUGUGGUAGUGGGAGACCCUGUUUGUGCUCUCUCCUG
This is a small nuclear RNA of Trichosurus vulpecula (common brushtail), 162 nucleotides long. RefSeq annotates it as U1 spliceosomal RNA. NCBI's taxonomy places the organism in Eukaryota, Metazoa, Chordata, Mammalia, Diprotodontia, Phalangeridae. The record is from RefSeq and is a predicted model, not a curated record. The transcript has a single exon.